This 241-nucleotide ribosomal RNA is filed under the name uncultured Vibrio sp. Its description in RNAcentral is "partial 16S ribosomal RNA". It matches the Rfam family "Bacterial small subunit ribosomal RNA", at positions 192 to 421 of the family's 1533-position model. The record is from RNAcentral. Lineage: Bacteria; Pseudomonadati; Pseudomonadota; Gammaproteobacteria; Vibrionales; Vibrionaceae.
CUCGCGAGAGCAAAGCGGGGGACCUUCGGGCCUUGCGCUACCGGAUAUGCCCAGGUGGGAUUAGCUAGUUGGUGAGGUAAGGGCUCACCAAGGCGACGAUCCCUAGCUGGUCUGAGAGGAUGAUCAGCCACACUGGAACUGAGACACGGUCCAGACUCCUACGGGAGGCAGCAGUGGGGAAUAUUGCACAAUGGGCGCAAGCCUGAUGCAGCCAUGCCGCGUGUAUGAAGAAGGCCUUCGG